This 112-nucleotide small nucleolar RNA is filed under the name Tursiops truncatus (common bottlenose dolphin). The record is from RNAcentral. Lineage: Eukaryota; Metazoa; Chordata; Mammalia; Artiodactyla; Delphinidae.
ACUGAGGCCCAUCUAUCUCCUGCCUCAGCUGGACACUUCAUAGAGUCACUAGGUGGUUCCUUUACGCAUAGAACCAUGUGUUAGAUUUGUGGGGAAGAACUAUAAGACAGAG